RNAcentral lists this ribosomal RNA (333 nucleotides) under Methylophaga sp. RNAcentral's name for it is "partial 23S ribosomal RNA". It matches the Rfam family "Bacterial large subunit ribosomal RNA", at positions 2607 to 2925 of the family's 2925-position model. The record is from RNAcentral. Lineage: Bacteria; Pseudomonadati; Pseudomonadota; Gammaproteobacteria; Thiotrichales; Piscirickettsiaceae.
GGGUUUAGAACGUCGUGAGACAGUUCGGUCCCUAUCUGCCGUGGGCGUUUGAGAAUUGAGAGGAGCUGCUCCUAGUACGAGAGGACCGGAGUGGACGUACCCCUGGUGUUCGGGUUGUUGUGCCAACAGCAUUGCCCGGUAGCUAUGUACGGACGGGAUAACCGCUGAAAGCAUCUAAGCGGGAAGCCCCCCUCAAGAUGAGUUCUCACUGGACUUUAAGUCCCUGAAGGGCCGUUGAAGACUACAACGUUGAUAGGUUGGGUGUGGAAGUGCAGUAAUGUAUGAAGCUAACCAAUACUAAUUGCCCGUGAGGCUUGACCAUAUAACCCCAAG